This 277-nucleotide ribosomal RNA is filed under the name uncultured Pseudomonas sp. Its description in RNAcentral is "partial 16S ribosomal RNA". It matches the Rfam family "Bacterial small subunit ribosomal RNA", at positions 1107 to 1382 of the family's 1533-position model. The record is from RNAcentral. Lineage: Bacteria; Pseudomonadati; Pseudomonadota; Gammaproteobacteria; Pseudomonadales; Pseudomonadaceae.
GUCCUUAGUUACCAGCACGUUAUGGUGGGCACUCUAAGGAGACUGCCGGUGACAAACCGGAGGAAGGUGGGGAGUGACGUCAAGUCAUCAUGGCCCUUACGGCCUGGGCUACACACGUGCUACAAUGGUCGGUACAAAGGGUUGCCAAGCCGCGAGGUGGAGCUAAUCCCAUAAAACCGAUCGUAGUCCGGAUCGCAGUCUGCAACUCGACUGCGUGAAGUCGGAAUCGCUAGUAAUCGUGAAUCAGAAUGUCACGGUGAAUACGUUCCCGGGCCUU